This 470-nucleotide ribosomal RNA is filed under the name uncultured Proteiniphilum sp. RNAcentral describes it as "bacterial SSU rRNA". It matches the Rfam family "Bacterial small subunit ribosomal RNA", at positions 910 to 1382 of the family's 1533-position model. Lineage: Bacteria; Pseudomonadati; Bacteroidota; Bacteroidia; Bacteroidales; Dysgonomonadaceae. The record is from RNAcentral.
UUGACGGGGGCCCGCACAAGCGGUGGAGCAUGUGGUUUAAUUCGAUGAUACGCGAGGAACCUUACCUGGGCUCAAAUGUAUGUUGACGUAUUCUGAAAGGGAUACUUCUUCGGACAAUAUACAAGGUGCUGCAUGGUUGUCGUCAGCUCGUGCCGUGAGGUGUCGGGUUAAGUCCCAUAACGAGCGCAACCCUCAUCAUUAGUUACCAUCAGGUAAGGCUGGGGACUCUAAUGAGACUGCCAUCGUAAGAUGUGAGGAAGGUGGGGAUGACGUCAAAUCAGCACGGCCCUUACGUCCGGGGCGACACACGUGUUACAAUGGGUGGUACAAAGGGCAGCUACCUGGCGACAGGAUGCUAAUCUCGAAAACCGCUCUCAGUUCGGAUCGGAGUCUGCAACUCGACUCCGUGAAGCUGGAUUCGCUAGUAAUCGCGCAUCAGCCACGGCGCGGUGAAUACGUUCCCGGGCCUU